AAUGGGCGCAAGCCUGAACCAGCCAUCCCGCGUGCAGGAAGACGGCCCUAUGGGUUGUAAACUGCUUUUCCAGGGGACGAAUAGCUUUUACGUGUAAGGGCAUGACGGUACCUUGGGAAUAAGCAUCGGCUAACUCCGUGCCAGCAGCCGCGGUAAUACGGAGGAUGCGAGCGUUAUCCGGAUUCAUUGGGUUUAAAGGGUGCGUAGGCGGACUGAUAAGUCAGUGGUGAAAUCCUGCAGCUUAACUGUAGAACUGCCAUUGAUACUGUUAGUCUUGAGUUUGGUUAAGGUAGGCGGAAUGUGUAAUGUAGCGGUGAAAUGCUUAGAUAUUACACAGAACACCGAUUGCGUAGGCAGCUUACUGGACCGACACUGACGCUGAGGCACGAAAGCGUGGGGAUCGAA
This 405-nucleotide ribosomal RNA is filed under the name uncultured bacterium. RNAcentral describes it as "bacterial SSU rRNA". It matches the Rfam family "Bacterial small subunit ribosomal RNA", at positions 370 to 772 of the family's 1533-position model. The record is from RNAcentral.